Non-coding RNA from Vicugna pacos (alpaca), 183 nucleotides. Lineage: Eukaryota; Metazoa; Chordata; Mammalia; Artiodactyla; Camelidae. The record is from RefSeq and is a predicted model, not a curated record.
AUAUAUAAAAUAGAUGAACAUCAAGGUCCUACUGUACAGCACAGGGAACUAACUGUAUUCGAUAUCUUAUAGUAACUGCUAAUGAAAAAGAACGUGAAAAGGAAUAUACGUAUGUACAUGUAUGACUGAAACGUGAUGCUGUGCGCCAGAAACUGACACAUUGGACACUGACGAUACUUCAAU